UGGGAAGGAAGGAGGGAAUUCAAAUGCCAGGGAAUUGUUCAGUUUCGCUUUUAAAGAUGUUAACACUCAUUUAUACAUCUGCAAGACACUUUCCUUAAAGAAAAGUUCUAUGAGUGUGGGUCUGGUUGCAUGAAUAAGGAUAAAAUUACUUUUUUAGACGAUGUUUCCCACAUAUAAUUCAGAGACCCCUGAAAUUAGGUAUCCCUCUUGUAGAUGUCCUUGAGAUGCUGCUGGACCUGGGAAAGAGGAAACUGGGAUAUGGGUCUAUGCCAAAAGGUGCUUCUAGUUAUAGGACAGAGAGGAAAGGGGCAGAGGGAGAAAAACCUGAAGUCUGAGAAUCUGGAUUGCAGAAGACUACCGAGGUCGUGGGAGAAGGGAGAGAAAACAAGGAUGAAAACCGAAAGGGGAAGAGGCAUGAAAUGUUGUCAAAUGCCAAAAGGCAUUUGGAGAGAAGUUGGGAAUUGCAUUAAGAAAACCACUGCAAAUCUCAUUUCAGACCAUUUAGAGAUAUGCCCCCUGGGAACUGCGAGCUCAGGCUGUUUAGCAUCAAACAAAUGGAUCCACUCCAUCCCUACCCUAAUUAAAUAAAUCAUUCAGUAAUUCCACUGGGUUAAAGAACCAAAAUAAUAAAAACCUUCAGGGCCUACUCUUGCCAAAUAUGUCAGGGAUCGUGUGUGUGUGUGUGUGUGUGUGUGUGUGUGUGUGUGUGUGUGUGUGUGUGUUCUGAGACACCACUACUGUUAAAUAGGCAGAGCUAAGACUUAGGGGACUGGCAGAUUAUUGCAAAAAGGGCACGGGGCAGAGGGACUAUGUUGUGAGCCUGCGAAAGAAGUUUGUGUGGGGACUGUGGGCAGUGAAUGCGUUGGGAACAAUAUGGAAAACUGGGAGCUGCCUUGGAAUCUACAGGGCCGGGCUGAAGAAAAGAAGAAUGGUAUUCAUGCAGUUCCCAUUUUACAGAUGAAAACAAGAGGACUUUUUCUGUGAAGUCAAGAAAGUGGUUACAAUGGUACUUUCAGCCUGUCCGAAUUAUGUAUUGCCCCUCCCCUUUUUAUUAAUAACAUUGAAGUGUGAUGGGACAACCACUGAAGCCGUCUGUUGAAACCUGCUGGGACUUUUUAGCCAUUCUCUUCAACAUAAAGAAUGGGUGUUUUUGGAGGGGGUGAGAGGAAUGGGGAAAUGUUGUCAAAGAGUACAAUGUUUUAGUUGAGACAGGAGGAAUAUAUUUUGUUGAGAUCUACAGCACAGCAUGGUGACUGUAGUUAACAAUGAAGUAUUGUGUAUUUCAAAAUUGCUAAGACAAUAAAUUUCAAAUGUUCUCACCACAAAAAAGAUAGGUUUUGAGGUGAUGAAUCUAUUAAUUCUCUGGAUUUAAUUAUUCCACAAUGUAUACAUAUAUCAUAACAUCACAUCAUACCUCCGUAAAUACAUACAAUUUUAAUUUGUCAAUUAACAUUUUUUUAAAAGAAUAGUG
RNAcentral lists this long non-coding RNA (1471 nucleotides) under Homo sapiens (human). Its description in RNAcentral is "HSALNT0149810". The record is from RNAcentral. Lineage: Eukaryota; Metazoa; Chordata; Mammalia; Primates; Hominidae.